AGUUUGAUCCUGGCUCGAGGAUAGAACGCUAGCGGCAGGCUUAACACAUGCAAGUCGAGGGGUAGGUUACUUCGGUAAUUGAGACCGGCGCACGGGUGCGUAACGCGUAUACAAUCUACCUUUACAGAGGGAUAGCCCAGAGAAUUUGGAUUAAUACCUCAUAGUAUUUUUGAAUCGCAUGAUUUGAUUAUUAAAGUUCCAACGGUAUAAGAUGAGCAUGCGUCCCAUUAGUUAGUUGGUAAGGUAACGGCUUACCAAGACAAUGAUGGGUAGGGGUCCUGAGAGGGAGAUCCCCCACACUGGUACUGAGACACGGACCAGACUCCUACGGGAGGCAGCAGUGAGGAAUAUUGGUCAAUGGGCGCAAGCCUGAACCAGCCAUGCCGCGUGCAGGAAGACGGUCCUAUGGAUUGUAAACUGCUUUUAUACAGGAAGAAACCCUCCCACGUGUGGGAGCUUGACGGUACUGUAGGAAUAAGGAUCGGCUAACUCCGUG
Molecule: ribosomal RNA, 496 nt
Filed under: uncultured bacterium
Lineage: Bacteria
Description: bacterial SSU rRNA
Rfam family: Bacterial small subunit ribosomal RNA
Source: RNAcentral